RNAcentral lists this long non-coding RNA (1698 nucleotides) under Spirodela polyrhiza (greater duckweed). RNAcentral describes it as "long non-coding RNA (SPOL_LNC001841)". Lineage: Eukaryota; Viridiplantae; Streptophyta; Magnoliopsida; Alismatales; Araceae. The record is from RNAcentral.
AUGAUCCUUGAGACCUACAGCAUAGAAAACAGAAUUAAAUCAGUUUGAAACAUCUAUGAUAAACUAUGGGAAUGCUGUUGAGAAAUUUCACAAGAGAAAACAAGAAGGAAGAAUAAUCAACUUUUCUAUCACAUUUUUCCCCUGAAAGAUGCCAAUUCUGUAUCUUAUUAGUUUUGAAGGAAUGACGCAAGUACAAUUCCCCCCAUUAUCUUCUACAGAAAUUUGGUGUACGAAACUUUCUCCAAAACUUGCAUGUGCGCUGAUAUUCAGUCAAAGGCAAGAUGCACCUAUUCCAUCCUCCUCUCGCGUGAGAUUAGCCAGCAUGUCCAACCCUUAAUUGUUUUAUUUUCCAACUACUGACUAACAUAUCUUCUGACAUUAUGCCUGGGUGCCAAUGUUUCUAGUAAAGCGAUUUAUCAUCCCCCCAUCAGACGAUAGACAUGAGAUCAACAUUAGACAAUACCUUCAAUUAAUUUUAUUUAGUCUCAUCGACGUGAUACAGAGAUUGCCAAAAAGCCAUCGCGCUCCCAAAAAAGAGAAGCCUAAUUCCUGGUGUAUAUUGAUGUGUCCAGAGUGAUCAUAUUGGAGGAAAAUGCAACAGUUCCUCCACAACCAAACCUGAUACACUGGCAGCUGGACCAAGAUUGAAGCCCAAGGGUGUCUGCUACAGGGACAGAGAGAACUUCCUGUUAUGUCCAACAAGGUCUAACAUCCAUCUCCUUUCUCAAGGAUGCCGAGGGUUUACAGAACAUCAAUGAUAAGGGACGAAGUAUAUGGAAGACUCAGCAUAACCCAUAUCCCCGAUAUGGAAUGUCCUCAGCCUUUAAAGUUAGAAUAACCCCUUUCUCCUCCCAUUUGGUACUUUCUGGAUGCCCCAGGCUGCAACGUGCUCUGAUAACAUCAAUAAAUACCAGAGACACUGUAGCGAACAGGUAUAAAAGAAAAGGGGAAGAAAAUUGGAACAGCGGCUCUCAUCUCCUUUUAUAUAAGCCUCAUGACCUCCUCAACUUUAUAGCGCCAGGGAUAUGGUAAUGCCAAAGAAAUCACAACAUUUCGGUGUUAGGCUAGCAAGGAGAAAGGAUAGAUCUGAACAGUGAAAAUUGAAGUUCAAGACAAAGAACCAGUACAAGAAUUCAUAACUACAAGCAAACCCCUUGCUUUUGUAACUUAACAAACUGUUGUCGGGGUGUGCUAGUACACAUCACGUGUCUUCCUUAUGUACCUCACGUGUCUUUAUCACUACAUGUGUGUGUGUCUAGAAUCUUCUGAGGGGGCUGAUAUAAAUACCAGACAUCCUCUCCUUUUGUAUGUGUGAUUUUAGUACGAAUAACAUAACUAUUUUUCUUUCCUUUGUGCGUUGGUUACUAUAUAGCACAGAACUUGAUUCAAGAUUGUACAUGAUAUCAUAGCGAAUUAAGGCACACACUGUUUUUUUCUUCCUUCUACAUUGACCACCUACAGUUACGGUUCUUGCACCAUCCCUUCUUCAUCUCAAUAGAGAUUUGCUGAAGAAAUACCAGUUGAUUCUGGUCAUUUUGAUAAAAAUUUAAAAAUAACCUCACCCAAAUCACAUUUCUUUUCACAGCUCAAAAUCUGUUGUCUGACAUGUAGACACCCUUAAGUGUGAUGUGUGUGAAUUGUCAAAACACAUGUAUGCUUCUGUUCCAACUCAAGGAGAAAGGAGUGAGCUUCUUUUCU